UGGGAAUAUUGCACAAUGGGCGCAAGCCUGAUGCAGCCAUGCCGCGUGUUUGAAGAAGGCCUUCGGGUUGUAAAGCACUUUCAGCGGGGAGGAAGGCGUUAAGGUUAAUAACCUUGGCGAUUGACGUUACCCGCAGAAGAAGCACCGGCUCACUCCGUGCCAGCAGCCGCGGUAAUACGGAGGGUGCAAGCGUUAAUCGGAAUUACUGGGCGUAAAGCGCACGCAGGCGGUCUGUCAAGUCGGAUGUGAAAUCCCCGGGCUCAACCUGGGAACUGCAUUCGAAACUGGCAGGCUAGAGUCUUGUAGAGGGGGGUAGAAUUCCAGGUGUAGCGGUGAAAUGCGUAGAGAUCUGGAGGAAUACCGGUGGCGAAGGCGGCCCCCUGGACAAAGACUGACGCUCAGGUGCGAAAGCGUGGGGAGCAAACAGG
Molecule: ribosomal RNA, 428 nt
Filed under: Chloroflexota bacterium
Lineage: Bacteria; Bacillati; Chloroflexota
Description: Chloroflexi bacterium partial 16S ribosomal RNA
Rfam family: Bacterial small subunit ribosomal RNA
Source: RNAcentral